UUUUCAAAGUCUGCCAGUAAUGCUCAACCUUGUCGGCUUCCUAUUUUUGCUUUCAAAUUAGGGUAAGGAUGAGUCAUCGCCAACCACCAUGAAUGAUGCCAGACAAGGUGGGGAAAUCUCUCCUGGAACUGUGGCUAACACAAGAUGACCAGAAGAGUGCCAGUCUUUGAUUAAUGACAAUGAAGGAAGACUUUGGGCAGAAAAAGGAACCUGGCCAAAUUGGAGAAGCAAGCAUAGGACACACAGCAGACUG
Molecule: long non-coding RNA, 253 nt
Filed under: Homo sapiens (human)
Lineage: Eukaryota; Metazoa; Chordata; Mammalia; Primates; Hominidae
Description: HSALNT0364537
Source: RNAcentral